GAUGAACGCUGGCGGCGUGCCUAAUACAUGCAAGUCGAGCGAACGGACGAGAAGCUUGCUUUUCUGAUGUUAGCGGCGGACGGGUGAGUAACACGUGGAUAACCUACCUAUAAGACUGGGAUAACUUCGGGAAACCGGAGCUAAUACCGGAUAAUAUUUUGAACCGCAAGGUUCAAAAGUGAAAGACGGUCUUGCUGUCACUUAUAGAUGGAUCCGCGCUGCAUUAGCUAGUUGGUAAGGUAACGGCUUACCAAGGCAACGAUGCAUAGCCGACCUGAGAGGGUGGUCGGCCACACUGGAACUGAGGCACAGUCCAGACUCCUACGGGAGGCAGCAGUAGGGAAUCUUCCGCGAUGGGCGAGAGCCUGACGGAGCAACGCCGCGUGAGUGAUGAAGGUCUUCGGAUCCUAAAACUCUGUUAUUAGGGAAGAACAUAUGUUUAAGUAACUGUGCACAUCUUGACGGUACCUAAUCAGAAAGCCCCGGCUAACUACGUG
This 497-nucleotide ribosomal RNA is filed under the name uncultured bacterium. RNAcentral describes it as "partial 16S ribosomal RNA". It matches the Rfam family "Bacterial small subunit ribosomal RNA", at positions 28 to 507 of the family's 1533-position model. The record is from RNAcentral.